This 1047-nucleotide ribosomal RNA is filed under the name Triticum aestivum (bread wheat). RNAcentral's name for it is "partial small subunit ribosomal RNA". Lineage: Eukaryota; Viridiplantae; Streptophyta; Magnoliopsida; Poales; Poaceae. The record is from RNAcentral.
AUGAAAUUAUGCUUAUUAGCCUCCUGGGUAAAGAGAUAUUUUGUAGAUCAGGGCAAGAUUUGGAAACAAAUCAUUGAUGCCAAGUACAACACUCUUAACCCUAAUAUCUUUGCUUAUUCUAGCCUUGGUGCUUCCCCUUUUUGGAAAGGUAUUCUAUGGGCGGCCAAAGCUGCAAACAUAGGAUAUACCUGGAUAAUAGGGGAUGGUAAAAACACCAGGUUUUGGAGAGAUCGUUGGAUAGGGCAUACCACCCUAGCCACGAAGUAUUGGGAUCUAUAUAAGAUUGCCAAUGAUCAGAACAUCACUGUUUGUGAUGCCUGGGAUGGUACUAAUCUGAAAAUCACUUUCAGAAGAUGUUUUUCUCGUGAUAUGGUAGAUGAGUGGAAUGCUCUAUUUAAUGAUGUCAAAAAUACUGUCCUGAUGGACAAGAGAGACACUGUUCGCUGGGACUUUAACACUAAAGGUGUUUACAGUGUCAAGUCCUUCUAUGACAUUAUAAACUUUAGAGGAGUCUCCCCCGGGAACAGUAUAUCUAUCUGGAAUAUCAAAGUCCCGCUCCGCAUUCAUAUUUUCCUUUGGCUUAUGACUAAUAACAAGCUGUUGACUAGAGAUAAUCUGCAGAAAAGACAAACAGUAGAUAAUGCGUCCUGUCUUUUCUGCAAUGAUCCUGAAUCUAUAGAUCAUUUAUUUUUCAGCGGUGUGGUCUCGACGGAGCUCUGGAGAGUGAUUGGGGACUUUUACAAUAAUCAUCCCAGGAUGUCUAUGAAUGACAUGCUUGAAUGGUGGUCCCAUAAUAAAAAUCACCCGGCUGAAUGUUUAUUGCACUCCGCUGUUUUGUGGGCUCCAUGGAAACAACGUAAUGAUAUGUGCUUCAAUUAUACUCCCUGGUCUGGGAUGCAGGUGUUGUGGAGGAAGAUAGCUGCUACCUUAGACAGCUGGGCGGUACGUUGCUCAGAUCCUGUCAAAACCAAAGUGCUGAGUAUGGUGCGGAAGCUGGAACAGAUGGCAAGGUCCCCACCCCUCCUACUAUGGCCGGACCCUGGCUAG